This 337-nucleotide ribosomal RNA is filed under the name Weissella cibaria. Its description in RNAcentral is "partial 23S ribosomal RNA". It matches the Rfam family "Bacterial large subunit ribosomal RNA", at positions 2588 to 2925 of the family's 2925-position model. Lineage: Bacteria; Bacillati; Bacillota; Bacilli; Lactobacillales; Lactobacillaceae. The record is from RNAcentral.
UUAAAGCGGUACGCGAGCUGGGUUCAGAACGUCGUGAGACAGUUCGGUCCCUAUCCGUCGCGGGCGUAGGAAAUUUGAGAGGAGCUGCCCUUAGUACGAGAGGACCGGGGUGGACGUACCUCUGGUGUAUCAGUUGUUCCGCCAGGAGCAUCGCUGAGUAGCUAUGUACGGAUGAGAUAAACGCUGAAAGCAUCUAAGUGUGAAACUCGCCUCGAGAUGAGAUUUCCCAUUCUUUAUGAAGUAAGACCCCUCAGAGAUGAUGAGGUAGAUAGGCUAGAAGUGGAAGUGCGGCGACGCAUGGAGCGGACUAGUACUAAUGGUUCGAGGACUUAACCAA